GAUGAACGCUGGCGGCGUGCCUAAUGCAUGCAAGUCGAACGCAUAGCGAAAGGUGCUUGCACCUUUCAAGUGAGUGGCGAACGGGUGAGUAACACGUGGACAACCUGCCUCAAGGCUGGGGAUAACAUUUGGAAACAGAUGCUAAUACCGAAUAAAACUUAGUGUCGCAUGACACAAAGUUAAAAGGCGCUUCGGCGUCACCUAGAGAUGGAUCCGCGGUGCAUUAGUUAGUUGGUGGGGUAAAGGCCUACCAAGACAAUGAUGCAUAGCCGAGUUGAGAGACUGAUCGGCCACAUUGGGACUGAGACACGGCCCAAACUCCUACGGGAGGCUGCAGUAGGGAAUCUUCCACAAUGGGCGAAAGCCUGAUGGAGCAACGCCGCGUGUGUGAUGAAGGCUUUCGGGUCGUAAAGCACUGUUGUAUGGGAAGAACAGCUAGAAUAGGAAAUGAUUUUAGUUUGACGGUACCAUACCAGAAAGGGGCGGCUAAAUACGUG
Molecule: ribosomal RNA, 497 nt
Filed under: uncultured bacterium
Lineage: Bacteria
Description: partial 16S ribosomal RNA
Rfam family: Bacterial small subunit ribosomal RNA
Source: RNAcentral